AGAACGAACGCUGGCGGCAGGCCUAACACAUGCAAGUCGAACGCCCCCCUUCGGGGGGGAGUGGCGCACGGGUGAGUAACGCGUGGGAAUCUGCCCUUUGGUCUGGAAUAACCCUGGGAAACUAGGGCUAACACCGGAUAAGCCCGAGAGGGGGAAAGUUUACGCCGAAGGAGGAGCCCGCGUCCGAUUAGCUAGUUGGUGAGGUAAGAGCUCACCAAGGCUACGAUCGGUAGCUGGUCUGAGAGGACGAUCAGCCACACUGGGACUGAGACACGGCCCAGACUCCUACGGGAGGCAGCAGGUGGGGAAUAGUUGGACGAACGGGCGCAACGCCUGAUCCAGCCAUCGCCGCGUGAGUGAUGAAGGCCGUUCGGGUUGUAAGCUUGUUUGGGCGGGUACGAUGAGUGACCGGUACCG
Molecule: ribosomal RNA, 417 nt
Filed under: uncultured soil bacterium
Lineage: Bacteria
Description: bacterial SSU rRNA
Rfam family: Bacterial small subunit ribosomal RNA
Source: RNAcentral